GACGUAGGGCGCGAGCGUUGUCCGGAUUUAUUGGGCGUAAAGAGCUCGUAGGCGGCUAGUCACGUCGGAUGUGAAAACCCGAGGCUCAACCUCGGGCCUGCAUUCGAUACGGGCUGGCUAGAGUACUGCAGGGGAGACUGGAAUUCCUGGUGUAGCGGUGAAAUGCGCAGAUAUCAGGAGGAACACCGGUGGCGAAGGCGGGUCUCUGGGCAGUAACUGACGCUGAGGAGCGAAAGCGUGGGGAGCGAACAGG
This 253-nucleotide ribosomal RNA is filed under the name uncultured bacterium. RNAcentral describes it as "partial 16S ribosomal RNA". It matches the Rfam family "Bacterial small subunit ribosomal RNA", at positions 524 to 776 of the family's 1533-position model. The record is from RNAcentral.